UAGCGGCGGACGGGUGAGUAACACGUGGGUAACCUACCUAUAAGACUGGAAUAACUUCGGGAAACCGGAGCUAAUGCCGGAUAACAUAUAGAACCGCAUGGUUCUAUAGUGAAAGAUGGUUUUGCUAUCACUUAUAGAUGGACCCGCGCCGUAUUAGCUAGUUGGUAAGGUAAUGGCUUACCAAGGCGACGAUACGUAGCCGACCUGAGAGGGUGAUCGGCCACACUGGAACUGAGACACGGUCCAGACUCCUACGGGAGGCAGCAGUAGGGAAUCUUCCGCAAUGGGCGAAAGCCUGACGGAGCAACGCCGCGUGAGUGAUGAAGGUUUUCGGAUCGUAAAACUCUGUUAUUAGGGAAGAACAAAUGCGUAAGUAACUGUGCGCAUCUUGACGGUACCUAAUCAGAAAGCCACGGCUAACUACGUGCCAGCAGCCGCGGUAAUACGUAGGUGGCAAGCGUUAUCCGGAAUUAUUGGGCGUAAAGCGCGCGUAGGCGGUUUCUUAAGUCUGAUGUGAAAGCCCACGGCUCAACCGUGGAGGGUCAUUGGAAACUGGGAAACUUGAGUGCAGAAGAGGAAAGUGGAAUUCCAUGUGUAGCGGUGAAAUGCGCAGAGAUAUGGAGGAACACCAGUGGCGAA
This 639-nucleotide ribosomal RNA is filed under the name Staphylococcus sp. JE12. Its description in RNAcentral is "bacterial SSU rRNA". It matches the Rfam family "Bacterial small subunit ribosomal RNA", at positions 93 to 719 of the family's 1533-position model. Lineage: Bacteria; Bacillati; Bacillota; Bacilli; Caryophanales; Staphylococcaceae. The record is from RNAcentral.